CCCGGAAGCCAGGCGAGGAGCCCAGGAGGCCUUUGGAUCGCAGCCCACCUUUGGGACAGGUGCAGCCCCAUUUUACAUCUCAGGACGCCAAGAGUGCCGAGGAUGAGGCUCCUUCCAGACACUUGGGAAAGCACCAGCCCCGCUCAGCACAGGUGGGCAGCAGACUUGACGCCCUGCAAGGCCCGAAGACACAACACAGCAUCCACACGGUGACCUGUAAAUCACCUCGGCAGAAAGAAGACAGGUCCCCAAAGCCACCCCAGGCUCCCCAGCACCCUGAGGAGCAUGGUCGCCAAUCCCACAGCUCCUCCUCCUUUGCCAGUGGCACCCUCCAGGACAUGUGGAGGUUGCUAGACCUGGGAUCCAGCCCUUCUGGUGUCACCUCCCAGGGUGACUCAACUCCAGAGCUCCCAGCUCCUCCAGCAGCCGACAGGAGGCCCGUCAAGAUGCAGGCAGGCAUUGCCACCCCAGGGAUGAAGACAGCAGCCCAGGCAAAGGCCAAGACCACAGGAGCCUCCCGGUCUCAUCCUGCAAAAGCUAAAGGCUGCCAGAGGCCCCCCAAGAUCCGUAACUACAACAUUAUGGACUGACUUCCUCCCCCCACCCCGCCCCACUAAGGGGUGCUCGGGGCCUCCGCAUGGUGCCUGUGCUUUCACCUACGUGUUGUGGGGGGGUGUGGGCACAGCGUGCAGGGUGGAGGCAGGGAGCUGCAGGGCAGGCUCCCAAAUGCUGCUGAGGCGACCCUGCUGACUGAAGGCCUCCCUGAGCACAGGGCCCAUUAAAACCAGGUUCCUCCCUGGGG
RNAcentral lists this long non-coding RNA (802 nucleotides) under Homo sapiens (human). Its description in RNAcentral is "long non-coding RNA NONHSAT176679.1". Lineage: Eukaryota; Metazoa; Chordata; Mammalia; Primates; Hominidae. The record is from RNAcentral.